GGCGACGUAGCUCAGAUGGUUAGAGCAUGCGGCUCAUAUCCGCAGUGUCCGGGGUUCGAUUCCCUGCGUCGCUACCA
This 77-nucleotide transfer RNA is filed under the name Deltaproteobacteria bacterium. RNAcentral describes it as "tRNA-Met". It matches the Rfam family "tRNA". From Rfam's summary of the family: Transfer RNA (tRNA) molecules are approximately 80 nucleotides in length. Their secondary structure includes four short double-helical elements and three loops (D, anti-codon, and T loops). Lineage: Bacteria; Pseudomonadati; Myxococcota; Myxococcia. The record is from RNAcentral. RNAcentral also lists the same sequence under 2 other names.